RNAcentral lists this ribosomal RNA (253 nucleotides) under uncultured bacterium. RNAcentral's name for it is "partial 16S ribosomal RNA". It matches the Rfam family "Bacterial small subunit ribosomal RNA", at positions 524 to 776 of the family's 1533-position model. The record is from RNAcentral.
UACGGGGGGGGCAAGCGUUGUUCGGAAUUACUGGGCGUAAAGGGCUCGUAGGCGGCCAACUAAGUCCGACGUGAAAUCCCCAGGCUUAACCGGGGAACUGCGUCUGAUACUGGAUGGCUUGAGUUUGGGAGAGGGAUGCGGAAUUCCAGGUGUAGCGGUGAAAUGCGUAGAUAUCUGGAGGAACACCGGUGGCGAAGGCGGCAUCCUGGACCAACACUGACACUGAGGAGCGAAAGCCAGGGGAGCAAACGGG